Molecule: long non-coding RNA, 553 nt
Filed under: Brassica rapa (field mustard)
Lineage: Eukaryota; Viridiplantae; Streptophyta; Magnoliopsida; Brassicales; Brassicaceae
Description: long non-coding RNA (BRAP_LNC002970)
Source: RNAcentral
UGAUUCUCAAGGGAAGACGGUGAGUUUCAGAAACUGCUUUGUGAUAAUGACGUCUAACAUAGGAGCUCAAAGCAUACUCGAUACUUUCCGGGGCAAUGAAGACCGCAAAGAGGCUGUUUAUGAGACGAUGAAGCAACAAGUUGUGGAGUUAGCAAGAAAAACUUUCAAGCCAGAGUUUAUGAACAGAAUCGACGAAUACAUUGUGUUCCAGCCUUUGGAUACAAAAGAAAUAUCCAAAAUCGUGGAGAUUCAGGUAUGUAAUUUAUUUUUAGUCUUUUUAGGUUUUACAUAUUUUUAGUUUUUUUAGUUUUGGUAUAAAUGAAUUGUUUCCAAUGGGUGCAGAUGAAACGGGUCAAGAAUAGGUUGGAAGAGAAUAAAAUAAAACUUGAGUACACACAAGAAGCAGUGGACCACCUUGCUCAGCUUGGGUUUGAUCCCAACAAUGGUGCAAGACCUGUGAAGCGAGUGAUUGAGAAGAUUGUGAAGAAGGAGAUCGCCAACAAAGUUCUGAAAGGAGAAUUUGCUGCGGAUGACACUAUUCUUCUCGAUGUUG